CAUCUACUGCCUUAUAAGUAUUAAACCACUCCAUGUUGGGUGUCAUAUGGAAAGAGCAACCUAAAUCGAACAUCCAAUCACGAUCUUUCGCUGGAUUCUCAAGGACAACAACUUUGAUGGAGGUUGAAAGAGCAUCAAAGUAAAACAGCUCUGAUACCAAUCUGUUGGGUUUGAAGGGCCCAAACUAGGCCCAUGAUUGUGAUUAAUGCAAGGGAAUGAGGUAUGACUUGGAAGAAGUGGUUGUAAAGAAGCCACUAGCUGAUGACAAGACAGAGGAAGCUUCGUCCUUCUUUUCAUCUUUUAUCUUUGUAAGUUGAAUUGUAUUCUGAUUAGAAAGAUAAAGUGGAAAAACUUCUCAAACUCUCUCUCGAUUACUUCCUAAAACUUCUCUAACUUGUAAUUCAUAUGACUGUGCAAAUUGAUUGAGAGAAUUGUGCAUGGAUGAACGAAGAAGUAGAAGAGGAUGGAGAUAAGAGAAUAUUGCAAGCAGAUGUACAUGGUUCGACAAGAUGCCUACAUCCAAGGGAGAAGAAGAAUUUUUUGAUUCUUGGAGGAAUUUUACAAAGAUAAGUCUCUAACUCUCACACUCUAAUUUUCUUACUGACAAGCAUCCUUUAUAAAGAGAAAGAUGGUACAUGAUUAGUGAGUCUAGAAGGGUAUGUAAAUAUUGUUUUCACUCUAGAUGUUACAGAUUUUACAAUCUUAAAUUCCCCUGGUGUUUGCCUCAGUUGUCUAACUCUUUUAUUUAUUCAUAUUUUCUUGAUGGUCAUGUAUCAUGGGAAAUUAUUGUUCACAAAACACAGUUGUACAAAAUGUAAGAAUCUAAUAUCGGAUGGGCCAAAUAUUAGGCCCAAGAUUGUGAUUUAGUAGGGAAAUGGAGGCUGGCUUGAGGAAGUGGCUGUGAAGACGCCACGUUGCUGCAGGGAUGAUCAGAGGAAGCUUCCUCCCCUUUCUUUCUGGUUAGUGGAGGCAUGCAUGAGUAGAGGAGAGCUUCAGACCUUUCUCUUCCUCUCAGUUUCUUCACGAUUUUCCCAAAAGCUCGCUCUCACUGUUAUUCGAAUGGCUAUGGAUUUUGAUUGAGAUAAUGAAGCACCGAAGAACAUGAAGUAGAAAAAGAUAGAAGCAAAAGAGAAAUGCAAAAUAGUGAGUUGAUCGACAUCGACAAUGAAUCACCACCUAUAAAUAUUUUCGUCCCCGAUGCAUGUUCUAAACCAUCGGAAGUCAUUGGCAAGAGAAAACCAACUAGGCCAUCAUCUUCAAUGUGGGAUCACUUUACAAAGAUGGAAAGAUUUAACACUGAAGGUAUAAGAUGCAAAUAUAAUUAUUGUGAUAAAGAUUACGCUUAUGACACUUCAUGUGGAACUAGUACCUUAUGGAAGCAUUUACGAAAAUAAUGCAAAAAUUAUCCAUUUAAAGAGCAACCUAAAGGACAAACCAUACUAAAAUUUCAACCGAAUGAAAUUGAUGCAAAAGGUGCUAUCAAUAUGAAGUUUUUGUCUACUGCCUUUAGUCAACAAAGAGUUAGAAAUGCAUGUGCUAAGAUGCUAGUAUUGUCUGAGGUACCAUUUAGAUUUGUAGAGACAGAGGGGUUUAAAGAAUUUUGUAAUAUUGCAUGUCUUAAGUUUGACAUUCCUUCCAGAAUCACAAUUGCUAUGGAUAUUUAUCAGUUGUAUGUGGAUGAAAAAAAAUUGUUGAAAUCAACUUCAAUCAAAAGUAGUCAAAGAGUGAGCCUAACAACA
Non-coding RNA from Benincasa hispida (wax gourd), 1739 nucleotides. The record is from RefSeq and is a predicted model, not a curated record. NCBI's taxonomy places the organism in Eukaryota, Viridiplantae, Streptophyta, Magnoliopsida, Cucurbitales, Cucurbitaceae.